Molecule: long non-coding RNA, 911 nt
Filed under: Bemisia tabaci
Lineage: Eukaryota; Metazoa; Arthropoda; Insecta; Hemiptera; Aleyrodidae
Description: lncRNA ENSSSA2NGG007834
Source: RNAcentral
UUAAACGGUCGGCACUGAUCAAUAAAGGGGCAAGUGAACAACCCCGCUGUUACAGGCACCGCACGCAGCGCGCCCUGGCGGGGUUGCCACGAACCCCGACUGCCGUCACGAAAAGGGUGUGAUGCGCCUGUUUUCUGUGCCGAGUACUCCAAAUACUCCAUUUAACUUGACCUCCGCCUACUGACAAAUAUUCCACGAAAGUUCAUUUCGCCCUUACGCUUAAUUAUACCCAAGUUAAGGCCGUCUGCCUUCGUGUGUGUGCGUCUUGAUUUCUUUACGAGCCAACAUCCCCCGUUUUCGCGGUCGGGCAAGUUUUUUUACGAGUCCCUGGUCAGUUCCGUCGAGCAAGCUGUUAUCAAGUGUUUUUUCCUCCCCUCGACAUUUUUCCCACCGAGAUAAAAAUAUCACGGGGCCCUUUGUUCCGUUUGCGUUACUUUGUUCUAUUGUUGUCUAUGAAUAGACGAUUCGAAAUCAUCAAAGGCGUUACUUCUAGUUUCUUGUAUAAAAAUCGCCUCGUUUAUGCCCUCGCCUCUCAAACUUGUAUUUAGUGCACUUCAUGGUACCUCCUUAAUCCCUGUUACAACCUGGAUAUCCUGGGCUUAACCAAGAUUGAACUUUCGUCCAAGGAUAAGUAUGGCCUGACGAGAGAAGAUGAAGGCAGCAGCAAAGGAGAAACCAGACCCACCCGCCAGCAUCAGUUCUUCUCAGAUUCCAAAAUGCGGUCCCAUUCCUCUUGGUUCAUAUGCUGAUCAAGAACUGGCUGGAUUAAAAUGAGGAGGAAGAAUUCGGUGCUCCAGUUAAAUGCAAUUUUUAUGUUUUACCUAUCACAUAUCUAUAUAGUCAGCUCUUCUCAAUUUUUCAAGGGAAAGCGAGAAACGAGGGGACGAGACCUGUUCGGUUGGCAGCAGUUG